GCACAAGCGGAGAACAUGUGGUUUAAUUCGUAUGAUACGCGAGGAACCUUACCUGGGCUUAAUGUAGAGUGCUAUUUUUAGUAGAUAGAAAUUCCCUUCGGGGCUUUCUGCAAGGUGCUGCAUGGUUGUCGUCAGCUCGUGCCGUGAGGUGUCGGGUUAAGUCCCAUAACGAGCGCAACCCUUAUCGUUAGUUGCCAGCGGGUAAUGCCGGGGACUCUAGCGAAACUGCCGGUGUAAACCGAGAGGAAGGUGGGAUGACGUCAAAUCAGCACGGCCCUUAUGUCCAGGGCUACACACGUGUUACAAUGGCCGGUACAGAGGGCAGCUACCUGGAGACAGGAUGCGAAUCUCGAAAGCCGGUCUCAGUUCGGAUCGGAGUCUGCAACUCGACUCCGUGAAGCUGGAUUCGCUAGUAAUCGCGCAUCAGCCAUGGCGCGGUGAAUACGUUCCCGGGCCUU
This 458-nucleotide ribosomal RNA is filed under the name uncultured Sphingobacteriales bacterium. Its description in RNAcentral is "bacterial SSU rRNA". It matches the Rfam family "Bacterial small subunit ribosomal RNA", at positions 923 to 1382 of the family's 1533-position model. Lineage: Bacteria; Pseudomonadati; Bacteroidota; Sphingobacteriia; Sphingobacteriales. The record is from RNAcentral.